AAAUUGAAGAGUUUGAUCAUGGCUCAGAUUGAACGCUGGCGGCAGGCCUAACACAUGCAAGUCGAACGGUAGCACAGAGAGCUUGCUCUCGGGUGACGAGUGGCGGACGGGUGAGUAAUGUCUGGGAAACUGCCUGAUGGAGGGGGAUAACUACUGGAAACGGUGGCUAAUACCGCAUAACGUCGCAAGACCAAAGAGGGGGACCUUCGGGCCUCUUGCCAUCAGAUGUGCCCAGAUGGGAUUAGCUUGUUGGUGAGGUAACGGCUCACCAAGGCGACGAUCCCUAGCUGGUCUGAGAGGAUGACCAGCCACACUGGAACUGAG
This 324-nucleotide ribosomal RNA is filed under the name Salmonella enterica subsp. enterica serovar Infantis. RNAcentral's name for it is "bacterial SSU rRNA". It matches the Rfam family "Bacterial small subunit ribosomal RNA", at positions 1 to 323 of the family's 1533-position model. The record is from RNAcentral. RNAcentral also lists the same sequence under 1 other name. Lineage: Bacteria; Pseudomonadati; Pseudomonadota; Gammaproteobacteria; Enterobacterales; Enterobacteriaceae.